Molecule: ribosomal RNA, 253 nt
Filed under: uncultured bacterium
Lineage: Bacteria
Description: partial 16S ribosomal RNA
Rfam family: Bacterial small subunit ribosomal RNA
Source: RNAcentral
UACAGAGGGUGCGAGCGUUAAUCGGAAUUACUGGGCGUAAAGCGCGCGUAGGUGGUUUGUUAAGUUGGAUGUGAAAUCCCCGGGCUCAACCUGGGAACUGCAUCCAAAACUGGCAAGCUAGAGUAUGGUAGAGGGUGGUGGAAUUUCCUGUGUAGCGGUGAAAUGCGUAGAUAUAGGAAGGAACACCAGUGGCGAAGGCGACCACCUGGACUGAUACUGACACUGAGGUGCGAAAGCGUGGGGAGCAAACAGG